CAGAGACAUUUACAGGCAGCUUCACUGUCCUGUCUUGAACAUGCUCCACUAAACUGUGAACACAGGUGGCAUGGGCUUCGUAAUGAAUAAGAGUGCCUUCAAAGCAGGAGAUUCCCUGUACCUGCGAAGGGCCUUCGUGAACAACCUUGGAGAGGAAAGGAGAACCAGGAUUCAGAUCCAAAGCAUCCAGAAGGCUUUAGACAUCCAGAUCAGGGAGAUUGAUAGAGAAAAAGCAGCCCUGAAGAGAUUUUUGGUAAAGCUUCACAAGACAACUGGCUAUUUUCCUCAAAAACCAUUCUGGUGACUGAUGCUGUGCCACCAUAGGGGAGGAGUUCAUCUGAAACGUCCAAUACAGACAGAACACACCUGGUCUCCUUCUGUAUCUCUGUGACCCAAGAAAGCAAUAGAAGUGGCUACUGAGACAAGCCAAAAAAGAAAAAAAAGGACUAGAUAAUUGAGGACACAAAUGGACUGCCUCUAAAAUAAUAAACAAAACCUCCUACAAAAGAGAGAAUAAUGUGCUGAUUUUUUUCCCAGCUGAUUCUAUUUCUUUACAACUUGAGGUGAUAAUAUGCAGUGCACGUGUUAUUUUCUUACAGAUUCUCCAGGAGGCAAGAAUAAAGCUUAGCUAUUUUAGAAAUCUUUCAGAUACUGAUCAUGAAAUACGUAUUGUAUUUG
This is a long non-coding RNA of Gorilla gorilla gorilla (western lowland gorilla), 678 nucleotides long. RefSeq lists it as uncharacterized. The transcript has a single exon. The record is from RefSeq and is a predicted model, not a curated record. NCBI's taxonomy places the organism in Eukaryota, Metazoa, Chordata, Mammalia, Primates, Hominidae.